RNAcentral lists this ribosomal RNA (2260 nucleotides) under Escherichia coli. Its description in RNAcentral is "partial 23S ribosomal RNA". It matches the Rfam family "Bacterial large subunit ribosomal RNA", at positions 351 to 2597 of the family's 2925-position model. Lineage: Bacteria; Pseudomonadati; Pseudomonadota; Gammaproteobacteria; Enterobacterales; Enterobacteriaceae. The record is from RNAcentral.
CGCGCGAUACAGGGUGACAGCCCCGUACACAAAAAUGCACAUGCUGUGAGCUCGAUGAGUAGGGCGGGACACGUGGUAUCCUGUCUGAAUAUGGGGGGACCAUCCUCCAAGGCUAAAUACUCCUGACUGACCGAUAGUGAACCAGUACCGUGAGGGAAAGGCGAAAAGAACCCCGGCGAGGGGAGUGAAAAAGAACCUGAAACCGUGUACGUACAAGCAGUGGGAGCACAGAGCAAUCUGUGUGACUGCGUACCUUUUGUAUAAUGGGUCAGCGACUUAUAUUCUGUAGCAAGGUUAACCGAAUAGGGGAGCCGAAGGGAAACCGAGUCUUAACUGGGCGUUAAGUUGCAGGGUAUAGACCCGAAACCCGGUGAUCUAGCCAUGGGCAGGUUGAAGGUUGGGUAACACUAACUGGAGGACCGAACCGACUAAUGUUGAAAAAUUAGCGGAUGACUUGUGGCUGGGGGUGAAAGGCCAAUCAAACCGGGAGAUAGCUGGUUCUCCCCGAAAGCUAUUUAGGUAGCGCCUCGUGAAUUCAUCUCCGGGGGUAGAGCACUGUUUCGGCAAGGGGGUCAUCCCGACUUACCAACCCGAUGCAAACUGCGAAUACCGGAGAAUGUUAUCACGGGAGACACACGGCGGGUGCUAACGUCCGUCGUGAAGAGGGAAACAACCCAGACCGCCAGCUAAGGUCCCAAAGUCAUGGUUAAGUGGGAAACGAUGUGGGAAGGCCCAGACAGCCAGGAUGUUGGCUUAGAAGCAGCCAUCAUUUAAAGAAAGCGUAAUAGCUCACUGGUCGAGUCGGCCUGCGCGGAAGAUGUAACGGGGCUAAACCAUGCACCGAAGCUGCGGCAGCGACGCUGAUGCGUUGUUGGGUAGGGGAGCGUUCUGUAAGCCUGUGAAGGUGUGCUGUGAGGCAUGCUGGAGGUAUCAGAAGUGCGAAUGCUGACAUAAGUAACGAUAAAGCGGGUGAAAAGCCCGCUCGCCGGAAGACCAAGGGUUCCUGUCCAACGUUAAUCGGGGCAGGGUGAGUCGACCCCUAAGGCGAGGCCGAAAGGCGUAGUCGAUGGGAAACAGGUUAAUAUUCCUGUACUUGGUGUUACUGCGAAGGGGGGACGGAGAAGGCUAUGUUGGCCGGGCGACGGUUGUCCCGGUUUAAGCGUGUAGGCUGGUUUUCCAGGCAAAUCCGGAAAAUCAAGGCUGAGGCGUGAUGACGAGGCACUACGGUGCUGAAGCAACAAAUGCCCUGCUUCCAGGAAAAGCCUCUAAGCAUCAGGUAACAUCAAAUCGUACCCCAAACCGACACAGGUGGUCAGGUAGAGAAUACCAAGGCGCUUGAGAGAACUCGGGUGAAGGAACUAGGCAAAAUGGUGCCGUAACUUCGGGAGAAGGCACGCUGAUAUGUAGGUGAAGUCCCUCGCGGAUGGAGCUGAAAUCAGUCGAAGAUACCAGCUGGCUGCAACUGUUUAUUAAAAACACAGCACUGUGCAAACACGAAAGUGGACGUAUACGGUGUGACGCCUGCCCGGUGCCGGAAGGUUAAUUGAUGGGGUCAGCGCAAGCGAAGCUCUUGAUCGAAGCCCCGGUAAACGGCGGCCGUAACUAUAACGGUCCUAAGGUAGCGAAAUUCCUUGUCGGGUAAGUUCCGACCUGCACGAAUGGCGUAAUGAUGGCCAGGCUGUCUCCACCCGAGACUCAGUGAAAUUGAACUCGCUGUGAAGAUGCAGUGUACCCGCGGCAAGACGGAAAGACCCCGUGAACCUUUACUAUAGCUUGACACUGAACAUUGAGCCUUGAUGUGUAGGAUAGGUGGGAGGCUUUGAAGUGUGGACGCCAGUCUGCAUGGAGCCGGCCUUGAAAUACCACCCUUUAAUGUUUGAUGUUCUAACGUUGACCCGUUAUCCGGGUUGCGGACAGUGUCUGGUGGGUAGUUUGACUGGGGCGGUCUCCUCCUAAAGAGUAACGGAGGAGCACGAAGGUUGGCUAAUCCUGGUCGGACAUCAGGAGGUUAGUGCAAUGGCAUAAGCCAGCUUGACUGCGAGCGUGACGGCGCGAGCAGGUGCGAAAGCAGGUCAUAGUGAUCCGGUGGUUCUGAAUGGAAGGGCCAUCGCUCAACGGAUAAAAGGUACUCCGGGGAUAACAGGCUGAUACCGCCCAAGAGUUCAUAUCGACGGCGGUGUUUGGCACCUCGAUGUCGGCUCAUCACAUCCUGGGGCUGAAGUAGGUCCCAAGGGUAUGGCUGUUCGCCAUUUAAAGUGGU